GUCGAGGAUCAUUCGCAAUGGGCGAAAGCCUGACGAUGCGACGCCGCGUGCAGGAUGAAGGUCUUCGGAUUGUAAACUGCUGUCAUGAGGGAACAAUGGCCGGGGCGUGAACAGCGCCUCGGAAUGAUAGUACCUCAAGAGGAAGCCACGGCUAACUCUGUGCCAGCAGCCGCGGUAAUACAGAGGCGGCAAGCGUUGUUCGGAUUUACUGGGCGUAAAGGGUGCGUAGGCGGUUCCGUAUGUCGGAUGUGAAAGCUCACGGCUCAACCGUGGAAUGGCAUCCGAAACUGCGGGGCUGGAGUGCAGGAGGGGAGAGCGGAAUUCUCGGUGUAGCGGUGAAAUGCGUAGAUAUCGAGAGGAACACCGGUGGCGAAGGCGGCUCUCUGGACUGCAACUGACGCUGAGGCACGAAAGCUGGGGGAGCAAACAGGCUUAGAAACCCCAGUAGUCC
Molecule: ribosomal RNA, 451 nt
Filed under: uncultured bacterium
Lineage: Bacteria
Description: bacterial SSU rRNA
Rfam family: Bacterial small subunit ribosomal RNA
Source: RNAcentral